UCCCACACUCCUAAUCAUAUGAGCUAAUAUGUUGCACACUCAAUCUUUGGAAGAUAUAUAUAAAAAACACAUAAAAAUAGAUAGAUUAUCUUUCCAUUAGGUUGAGCGAUCUUAUUUGACAAAUGUUUUAAAUGCUACACUCAUGAUCUUAUUAUCCAUCAACUUUGUCUUGCUCGCUAUGCUUAAGGUUAGAGAAGAACAAAUACACUUUUGGUUCUGUUGGUGUUUUCCACCAACAGGAUCCAUGCACUUGAUCUCUGCUUGUCUCUAUGAGCAGGUACAUUUCGAGCAAAACAUGGAGGAGUUUUACAACUCCCAGACUCCACCAAGUGAAGGACCUAGAUCUACGAGCGCAAACACAUGAGCAGGAUGCUACAAACGCCGCACUUCGAACUGCUGGGCAAACAAAGAACAUGGGUGACACUGUAUCAAGAAGUGCAUACGUCAAGGUCCACACCUGAAUCAAAUGACGCACCUAAAGAAUGAACACGGUGAGAAGUCUUGUUCAGAAGACUUAAAACAUUGAACCCUCACCAAAAGGUAAAAUCGGUAGUUAUCCAUAUUCAUCCUUUCUGCAUUCUCUUUUCCCUUAAAUUAUUUACUUUCCUUAAAUAGCUUGUUAGUUAAUCAUGCUAUCUUGAAAAGAAAAUAAAAAUGUUAGAAACAGCAAGCCCCAUGUGAGUAUGCUCGUGACAUAAAACCCAUAAGUACAUUCACUAUGGCGACGUAAAAAUAAAAUAAAUAUAUUCCUGUCCCAUAAAAAUGAAAAUAUAAAAAUAAAUUUAUGAUCCUACCAAAGAGAGUAAUAUUUAUUAGAGGAAGCUCAACAUGAUAAAGGCAAAGAGAUUUUAUGCUAACACUUAACUAGUUCCACAAAGCUUUGUUGUCUAUUGGAGCUCCACAGAAUUCAAGGAUCAAAGAAGACUAGCAGACGGAAGACAUCCUAAUCGCUGUCAGGGUACUACCGACAUUCAAAUACACCUCGGCCACCUGCUAGCUACGUCAGAAAAAAUUACGUCAAAAUCUAGCUUGGGGGAGAGCACCCCCAUUUAUCCAGCUAAGUGUUUUUACUCAUGUUUAUACUUUACUAAAAUAAUAAAAAGAUGCAUAAUCAUAAAAACCCAAAAUAAAGAUUUUGUGCUUAUAUAUAUAUCUUUGCUUAGUUUGCUAAAUAAAUAAAUAAAUAAAGUUUGCUAGGAACCCUCAUGAUAAGCUCUCACAUGGAAAUGAUGAAUAGUUGCUCUGCCAUGACUAGUCCUCAAAAUUGAAUUCUCUCUCAAGUUUAGGCAUGAUUGUUAUGAAUUAAGAUUUGCUCUAAACCUAAACUUGUGGGAAGAGUACUUGAUCUAAAGUCUAAGUCGUUAACGGAUAUGAUAUGGGAAGGUUGAGCUGUUGUUUAUCUGUUCCUAGAGAUGCUAGAAUUCUGGAGAAUUUUAUCUUUGAAAAUCUUUAAAAUGUUGCAUGAUGAGUUCCUGUAUGAUGAGAGUUUAAAAUCCUACCACAGCCAUAUAUACAUGCUUAUUAGACUAUGAACCAUACAUUUACUUUUUACUACUUAUGAGCAUUGAGUGCGGUCAAGCUGUGUAGACCCUUAGGAGCUUGUUAUGCGGUUAAAAUCAAGAUUCACUUGCACGUUAACUCAUACAUGCUGCUUCUACUCCGGAAGUACGCAUCCACAUACAUCCACUCAAUUCCAUCUCCAGAUUCACCCAGAAUUAUUCUACUCCUAUCCGGGAGAGAAUAGCCAAAAACAUUAUCCUAUCCCUGUUAUUCCCCAUGAAAUAAAUUCUCAAGAUAUUUUGGUUACUACCACUUGCUAUAUUAUUCCAGGAGGGUGAGUGCUCUGAAAAAAGUGAAUACGAGGAAAUAAAAAGGGGCAAGUGCCCGGAACAUCGAAAAAAAGAAAAAGUGAGACGAGAGGUAAAAAUGGACAAGUGUCGGACAGUAGAAUUAGGGGUACAAGAUACCCACCGGAGAGGAAAGAAAAAAAAGAAAAAGAAAAAGUAGAGCAUCUCAUUCUCCUCAAAGAGUCUCAAAAGAGCAAGAACGGUAUGUAUCCUCUCAAAAGAGCAAAAAAUAGAAUUAGACUUUCACCAUUGUUAUCACCAUCAUCACCAUACACCAUUCAUUCGCCACACAUGCACAUCUUGAUUUGACUUAUUGACUUGUUUCUUAGGAUCCAUGGUUUGACUAUGCAAUAAAUGUCUUGUAAGUAUGUAUACUUUAUCUCCCACCUAUGAGCUCCAGAUAUCUAGCCUUAUCUUAGUAGGGUGAGAGAGAAGGCAAUGUCACUAUGCCUCAUACGACAAAUACCACAUACUUUGAGAGAAGGCAUAUACCAUCACUGCCUUGGUAAAGAUCUAGAAAUAGCACAAAAGAAAGAAUUAAGAGAGUCAUACAAGGAAUCUCUGAGUUUUAUUUCAAAAAUCUGCAAAAAAACUCCAGAGCUAUAGUUGAUCAAAGAACAAGAGACAUGGUGCUUGACUUGACCAUUCUAUCUUUUAACUGCUCAAGACAUAAGUGACGGUUGCAAGACCCAUGGUGAAAGGUAAAAUGAGUAAGUUUUAAGUCUCAACAGCUUACCCUAACCCAGAUAUUAGAUCUUGUUUGAACGCAUGUGUACCUUUAAGGCAUGAAACCACUGCACAAACUCUUGAGUCCAUCCUUGCUCAGGGACGAGCAAGAGGUAAGCUUGGGGGAGUUUGUUGACGGUCCUUAAGUAUCAAAUUUAGUCAUCAAAUAAAUGAAGAAAAGGAUCCAAAUGCAACCAACACCUAGACUUAGGGUUUUAUCUGACAGAAUUCCACAAGUUUUGGUGUUUGUCUAUUUCUGCAGGGGGUUAUCACGAAAUAUAAAGAAAAGGCCCACACGUUGGGUUUACAUAGAGAUAUUAACGUGCCGUGCAAUUAUCUAUCAUCUAGAAGACUCCAGAAGCCACGGGAACGAACGGGAAGCCGAGCGGGCUCGGGGGCAGGGCGCCCGCCCUCCCCCCUUGGGCGCCCGCCCAGCUACAGGAACCAAUCAGAACCAACCUCGCGGAUUAUGCUCCACCGACCUAAAGGAUCAAGGAAAACCGUGCGAUUAAUGUCGGUUUGAUCCGACGGCCCGUAUUCAUUUGGAGGGACUAUAUAAGCAGACCCUCUGGCCCCUAGAGGAGACACCCCUUGAUCCCUAUUCAUUAUUCAUAGACAGAGCAAAAGCUAGGGUUUGGAGAAGAGAGCUCUCCUCUCUUGUCUAAACUAGAGUAGAUCUUGAUAGUAGCGAGACGGAGAGAGAUGGAGAAUUGGAGGAGAGGCCGGCCUGUCGGUUCUUCCUCCGGUUGUACUUCGCCAUGAUCAAGCUCUAAUCAAGCUUGCUCAUGGGAUGACUUUGGUAAUCUACUUCUAUUUCAUUAUGCAAUUACUAUCCAUGUAUGUUCUGGUUCACAACUGUUUUGAGUACUUUAAUCUAUAGGACGCUAUAGGUGAGAGUUGUAGUAUAGGUGUAAGCGUGGUGCUUAGACCUAGAUUACUUGUGGAUAUCCCGUGUCUAGCCGGGUCGUAUGGUAGGCCGCGUAGGUGACAGUUACGUUGGUCCCCUGUAGUCCACCUCCUGUUAGCAGGACUGGUAGGGUUUAUCGGCCUAUGGAUAGGCAACCUUUGUGGUGUAUUCUUAUCACGUGGUUCGUCCCAGACAUAGACAUACCCCUUUGAAGUAGAGAAACCAUAGUUAUCCUCUCUAUUCUCCUACCAUCGCCCAUAUACUAGAUUGCUCUACUCUAUAUUCCCCCAUUAUCAUUUUACCUUUAAUAUUGUUCUUAUUCAAUUCUACCAUCUUUCCUAUUUACACCUAUCUAUCUAUCUUGGUUAAGUUAGAGCAUAGUUGGUUCUCCCGUUUCCCUAUGGAUACGAUUAAACUUUUAACCGGGUAAAAGCUACGACGGUGUCCGUGCGCUUGCGGAUUUAUCUGUGUGCGUAUAAAUACCAUAGUACACUCUAGUGCCAUGCUGGGGAUGACAACCUAGUAUUCAAGUGGUGUUAGCAAGUGUCAACAACCAUACACCUUUCAUUCGCCACACAUGCACAUCUUGAUAUUGACUUAUUGACUUGUUUCUCUGGAUCCAUGGUUUGACUUUGCAAUAAAUGUCUUGUAAGUAUGUAUACUUUAUUUCCCACCUAUGAGCUCCAGAUAUCAAAGCCUUAUUAGAGUAGGAUGAGAGAGAAGGCAAUGUCACUAUGCCUCGUACCACAAAUACUACAUACUUUGAGAGAAGGCAUAUACCAUCACUGCCUUGGUAAGGAUCCAGAAAUACCAUAAAAGAGAGAAUUGAGAGAGUCAUUCAAGGAAUCUCUGAGUUUUAUUUUGAAAAACCGGCAAAAACUCCAAAGCUAUAGCUGAUCAAGGAUAAGAGACAUGGCGCUUGACUAGACAGUUCUAUCUUUUAACUGCUCAAGACACAAGUGACGGUUGCAAGCCCCAUGGUGAAAGGUAAAAUGAGUAAGUUUUAAAGUCUUAACAGCUUACUCUAACUCAGAGAUGAGACCUUAUUUGAAAGCAUGUGUACCGUCAACAUUCAAAGGCAUUACAGCAACUUCUGAUCCAUCACUGAGUCUAUCCUUGCUCAGGUACAAACAAGAGGUAAGCUUGGGGGAGUUUGUUGACGGUCCUUAAGUAUCAAAUUUAAUCAUCAAAUAAAUAAAUAAAAGGAUCCAAAUGCAACCAACACCUAGACUUAGGGUUUUAUCUGACAGAAUUCCACGAGUUUUGGUGUUUGUCUAUUUCUACAGGGGCUAUCAGGAAAUAUGGAGGAAAGACCCAUAUGUCGGGUUUACAUAGCGAUAUUAACGUGUGCGGCAAUUUUCUAUAAUCUAGAAGACUCCAGAAGCCACGGGAACGAACGGGAGGCCGAGCGGGCCCCGAGGCAGGGCGCUCGCCCUAUUGUCUCGGCCAAUCAGGCCCCGUCUCUUGGAUUAUGCUCCACCGACCUAAAGGAUUAAGGAAAACCAUGCGAUUAAGGUCGGUUUGAUCCGACGGCCCACGUUCAUUUGGAAAGGCUAUAUAAGCAGGCCCCUUGGCCCCUGGAGGAGGCAAUUCUCUUUCUCAAACCCUAAUUCCUUCAUUCAUCCAAGGAGGAGAGUCUCUGAUCAAGCUCUAGAGCCACCACAUCAACUAGAUCUCUAGUUUAGCAUAGCUACAUAGGAUUAGAACUAGAAGGAGUCAAUCUUCGAUUGGUUUCUGGAUCUGUCAAGAGGAUUCUUGGUAAUUCCUCUAUUGUUCUUUAUUUGUUCAUUAUUGUUCUUCCAUAUUAUGAAUAUGACUUUGCUCUAUUUCAAUAUAUUGGUUAUGACUUUGCUCUACUUGUUUAUAUUUGCAAUUAUAUCGUUCUUAGUUUAUCAUGGUAAUAUACUUGGCUUAGUUAGAUUGGAAUUAUAUACAUGUUUAGGAUCAUAUAGCGUUUAUCCAUCGGGUCCAUGGGUAAAUGAUAAGUAUUUUAUAGGCGUGGUGCCUAUACUGUAUUUAUCUGCUAUUGUACCCUAUAUGCUGGAUCGCGGGGUAGUUUGCGGUGGUGACAGGUCCGUUGAUUCUUAUAUAGUCCCCCUCCCGUGUAUAGGGCAGGCAGAGCAACUUUAUUACAGGGGAGUGAUUGCUAUGUUUCUCAUCUUCCUUGAUAAUAUCACUAUGCAUGGGCGUAGUCCUGUCUCGCAAUGAUUGCCAAGUAUAAUUGCACUAACUAUGAUAUGCUAAACUUUAUAGUUAACAAUAACUUAGGAAAUAUUCUUGUAGUUGUUGACACUAAUUUUUGGACACGUAUCUUUUGAUACGCACCUGGAGUUAAUGGAACGUGGACCAGCAGAUGGAGCGAUGGUGACUAGUCUACAGGGGAGUUGCCGAUGAAGGUGGUUGUCGAUGGGGAAAUAACUGAGUAUGACUAAGUCCAGAAGUGGUGACGUAUUCGUGCCGAUGAUCCGUAUCGGUGUUUGCCGAUGGCUGUAACAUGUAGUAUGCUGAUGACUCUGAAGAAAAAUGCGGAGGUUGCCGAUUGAUUCAUAGCAGUGUCCCGAUCGGUUACAGAGGAUGGUUUAAUGUUUUUCUUUAGUUACUAGAGUUCGUUUUGUGUACGAAUUUUUUUUAGUUUGGAAUUCUAGUUCUAGUCGUAUCUGGUUGUAGCUCUUCGGACAGGUUAUAAAUGUAGACCCUAGGGCAAUGUAAUGAGAUAUCUAUCAAUCAAUCAAACACAAGUUUUUACUCAUAUUCCAGCAUCUACUUUUUUCGACGACUUCGUCAUAUUUUCCUUUUAUUAUGAGUUCUUAGGAAUUCGUCGAGUCAAUCAAGUUCCGCGUGAGCACCUCUUGGCCGUGACAUCCGGGCGCAUCGCUGUUGUUGGGACCAAAGUGUUCGAGUUACCACCUUUGUCGAUUGUAAGGUCAAAUCGGCUGGCACGCCUUAACGUUUGGAUCGGGUAUUAGCCCUUUGUGUUUGUAGAUCAGCUUUUGCAUCAACACAUCUUUUGGCACGCUCGGUGGGACAUAUUCAAGAUCAAGAUCAACAUGUCAAACACCGAUUUCGACUUGGAGAACGUCAUCCCGGUGACGGAGGCCAAUCUCAGAGAUGAGCAGAAGCAAGCUAUGGCAAAAUCCAUGGAGGACAUAACUUGAAAUCUUUCACUAUCAACAGAAGUGGCGAAGUAAUCCAAAAAUAAGCAUUGCCGGCGCCUCGGCACAUAACUUUUGAAGACAAUCCUGGUAAAUUGCAAGAGAUGGUGGAUGGUGUUGUCAACCGUGCUCUGAUCAAUCAAGCUAGCGUACUAUCCGACACGGUUUUCAAUGCGGUGGCUAGAACUUUUAAGGAAGGACAAUUGCCACCAAAUUAUGUGGGUCCUACCUAUCAUCACCCAGGGUCAUCAUUGGUUAUGGCUCCAUCGGCUACUACAGCCGUUGCGGGUACAGAAGCUACUUCUCCUCCAAGCACAUUAGGGAUCACUAAUGCGUAAUCUACACCGAUGACGACCAAUCCAUCAACAUCAGACAGGCAAAUCAAGCUUGCCACAGAUCUAUUGACAUCGGCAAUGUCAGGAUCUAUUCCUCCCAACUGGUGGGGUUAUGGUAUGCAUCCGGAAUUGAUGGUAAAAACUCCUAGAACAUCUCAAGUGGCUGACGUGACAGGCAAGGCUCCUAUGGCAUCGGCACCUCCAAAUCCACCGAUGAAUCAGAGUCCUCAGUACACUACAACUACUACUGCAAGACCUUACACUGGGAAUUCUCAGGCACCAACGUUCCAGAUGCCUAACGCAUCGGCAGAUCCAAUGCCGACGCAUCAGAGGUUUAUGACACAGCCAGGGUAUGUCAAUUCAAUGAUGAUGCCCAAUUACCAGUCAUCAGCAGGGCCUAUGCCGAUGAAUGCUAACAGUGGAUGGACAGGACAGUUAGUCUUUCCACAGAUGCCUCAGCAGAAUCAUCAGGCUGUAGGGUUUCAACAAGGCCAAAUCCAUCCUGGGUUACAGAAACAAGGGUUAGUCAACCAGCCGAUGAAUCUUGGUCAGCAGAUUGGUGGUCAGAUGGUUAAUCCGAUGUUCCAUGGAGAUCGUGCACCACAGAGACACGUGGAAGCGUAUCAGCAGGUGCCAGAUCCACAACCGCCGCAUCGGCAAGAUGCCGAUGCAUAUUGGGCCGAUAAGAUACCUGAAGUAAUGUGAGACCAAUUUGGGAUAAAACCCAAAGUCAACACCUCCUCUUAUCGGACACUGUAUCCUCCUACAUAUGACUUGAUUCCACUUCCAAACCGGUACAAGGUACCAGAUUUCACUAACUUUUCUGGACAGGAUGAUACAUCAACUAUGGAGCAUGUCAAUAGGUUCAUCAUCCAGUGUGGAGAAGCUGCUAACAGAGAUGAAUUGAGGGUUCGUCUGUUCUCAUCGUCUUUUUCUGGAUCAGCUUUUACUUGGUUUAUUUCGUUACCUCCCAACUCAGUGAUCACUUGGGCCGAUCUAGAGAAACAAUUCCACAAAUACUUCCUUCCUGGAGUUCAUGAAAAGAAGAUCACCGAUUUGGUCAGGCUGAAGCAACGCAAUGAUGAAUCGGUUGAAAGUUUUAUGCAAAGAUUGCGAGAAGUCAAGAAUAAAUGCUAUAGUCUGGUUCUAGAUGAUCGGCAGCUAGCCGAUUUGGCUUUCCAGGGAUUGUUGCCACAUAUCAGAGACAAGUAUGCUUCUCAAGAGUUCGAGAGCCUAAGUCACUUGGUGCAGAGGAUUUCUGACCAAGAUAUCAAACCCUUUGAGCCUAAGAGAGCAUGGAAUAAAAAGGUGUCAUUUGUCGAUGAGGCAGCAAGCUCAGACUCUGAUGAAGAACCAGUUAUUGGCCUAGCAGAGUGGAUAAAAAAUAAGAAGUCGAUGUCUUGCCCUUUUGGGCAUAAGGAACCAGAGAAGUUUGCAUUUGAUAUCACCAAAGCCGAUAGGAUAUUUGACUCUCUGUUUCAGGAAGGGCAAAUUAAGUUAUCACCCAAUCAUGUGAUUCCAUCGGCUGAAGAAUUAAAGAAGAUGAAAUAUUGCAAGUGGCAUAAUGCAACGUCUCACAACACAAAUGAGUGUAAGGUUGUCAGGCAACAGCUGCAAUCGGCUAUAGAAUCUGGGAGAAUCAAGUUUGAUAAUUCUAAAGCUCAGAAGCCGAUGAAGAUCGAUCAACAUCCUUUCCCAACAAAUAUGUUGGAUGCUAAGGGAAAAACCAAGGUCUUGACGUCAGAAGUAGCCGAAAGAAGCACAUCGGUGGAUCCUCAACAUUAGAUUACUACCGAUGAUGCUAAAGGCAAGGGUCUGGUUCAGGAAGGAACCAGCUUAGGAAGGUCUCCCUGAUCUGGCAUUGUGAUAACUCAUAGAAGGCAUUGGGAAACCUGGCAGCAACGUGAAGAUCGGUAUCAGCGCCAAUAGGAGGAUUAUCGUCGGGAAGAAGAAAGACGCCGACCGGAAUGGAAUCGGCAUAAAGAUCAUUGGAAUUGUCCAUUCUUUAUCCACUGUUGGGAAUAGAACAUCAAAUUGCCCACUGUUAGAGACUGCCUUGAGUGCAAUGGUUAUGAUCGAUAUGAUAGACCUAAUCGGCAGUAUUAAAACAAUGAUCGGCGAUUUAAUCGGCCGAUUAGGGGGAGAGCUUUGUUUCAUGAUCGGUUGGGAGGUAGGCUCAGUGUGCAUGACAGACUUGGUGACCGUGUCGGGUACAUUCCUAGGAACCAGGAAGAACUUGAAGAGAUGGCGGAUGCACAAGUUCCCGAUGAAUUCAUAUUUUGUAGGGAUGCUAAUACUUAUCGAGUGGAAUUAAGGGAAAAUCAUCGUCUAUCACUAAGACAGCCGCGAUGGUGUCCAGAAGGGUUAACUAGAACGCAGAAAAGAAGGUUGCAGUGCGAAAGACGAGAAUAUUUGAGCAAAGGAGAGAAUUCUGGCAAAUCUGGAGGUCAACAGUAGCUGGAUCCUAAAGGAAAAGGGCCAUCGGCAGAUGUUAACAUGAUAUUUAUGCUGCCGAUGGAGUUCCUUGCACAAUCCAGUGAUGAUGAAGAGUUGGAUUUUUCCGACCAGAUAGCUCAGUUGGCUCUGGAUCCGAUGACGGCUAUCUUUGAAAAGCCUGCCGACAAUGAAAGGCAGCAUCUUAAAGCUCUAUUCGUCAAAGGAAGGGUUGAUGGACAGCCGAUGACCAAAAUAUUAGUUGAUGGUGGUGCUGCUAUUAAUAUUAUGCCGUAUGCAGUCUAUCGGAAGCUUGGGAAAGGAGAUCGUUGAUUAUUUGAAAGAUCCAUCCAAAAGGGUUGAGAGGCGCGUCAGGUUUCGAGCUACCAAGUAUGUGCUCCUUGAGGAUGAAUUAUAUUAUCGAACUAUAGAUGGAGUUCUUCUCAAAUGCUUAGGAAAUGAUGAUGCCAAAAGUUUGAUGGGUGAGAUCCAUGAAGGAGUGUGUGGAGCACAUCAGUCGGCUUUUAAGAUGAAAUGGAUGAUUAGGAGAAAUGGAUAUUAUUGGCCAACCAUACUCGAAGAUUGCUUUAAAUAUUUCAAAGGAUGUCAAGGAUGUCAAAAGUUUGGCAAUAUUCAAAGGGCACCCGCAUCGGCUAUGAAUCCCAUUAUUAAACCUUGGCCAUUCUGGGGAUGGGCUAUUGAUUUGAUCGGCCAGAUUUAUCCACCAUCAAGCAAAGGGCAUAAAUUCAUCUUAGUUGCCACUGAUUAUUUCACCAAGUGGGUUGAAGCUAUUCCUUUGAAGAAAGUAACAUCAGCCAAUAUGAUUGAUUUUGUGAAAGAGCAUAUUAUUUACCGAUUUGGUAUUCCUCAAACGAUUACUACCGAUCAGGGUACUAUGUUUACAUCAGGAGAGUUUGAUGAAUUUGCAAUCGAUAUGGGAAUUAAAGUAUUGAAUUCUUCUCCUUAUUAUGCUCAAGCCAAUGGGCAGGCCGAGGCAUCUCACAAAGGAAUUAUUAAACUUAUCAAAUGGAAGAUUGAGGAAAAUCCUAGAAGGUGGCAUACAUUGUUGAAUGAAGCUUUAUGGUCAUAUCGGAUGGCUUGUCAUGGGUCGACCAAAGUUUCACCUUAUCAGUUGGUAUACAAGCAUGAUGCAGUACUACCAUGGAAAUUAAGACUGGAUCUAGGCAAUUAUCUUUCCAGGAUCAGUUGACUGCCGAUGAUUACGCUACUUUGAUGAGAGAUGAGUUAGAUGAUUUAGCAGGGCAUCGGCUCAAAGCUUUGGUAAGUAUAGAGGAAAAUAAAAAGAGAGUUGCUAAAUGGUAUGAUAAGAAGGUAAAGGUUAAGGAGUUUGCCGAUAGAGAUUUGGUAUGGAAACUAAUAUUACCGAUUGGCACUAAAAGUUCAAAGUUUGGCAAGUGGUCUCCCAAUUGGGAAGGUCCUUAUCGGAUAAGCCGGUCUGCUCCUGGUAAUGCCUAUAUUUUGGAAACUCUCGAAGGAGUUGAAUUUCCCACAGCAUUGAAUGGAAAAUAUUUAAAGAGAUAUUACCCAAGCAUAUGGAUCGAUGCAUAAAAGUUUAAGUGCCGAUAACACUCUUAUCGGCUGGAUUGAAAUGUAUCUGGGACUAAAGACGAUGUUUCAAAAGGGUGCCGAUAACAGUCCUAUCGGCUAGACCAAAAUAAUCAGCAGUUUUUGAAGAAAGAGCAAAACACGCCGCCGAUGAAAAGCUUAUACAUUUAGCAGAGCUUGGAUCGCCGAUAUAGCGCGCAGACGAAUUUGAUCGGCUUCUUCUAUCUCCUUGAUGUCUUCAUCGGCAGAGCCCUCCACUGGCUUCAGCUUCUUCUUCAUCUGCAAUGCCUUGCGAGCUUGAGUGUUUCGCUCUUGUUCGAGGGUCUUGAUCAUUUCAGGCAGUUGACUUUCUUCUUGUUGAGCUUGGGACAGAGCCUCUUCUACUUGCUUAAGCUCUGCCAACAGGGUUUCCCUUUUUACCAAUAGGUCGGAGAUCUUUAAUUUUGUUUCAGCGUAUCUCCGGAGGAUUUUAGAAUGCCGAUGCUCUUGUGUUUCUCAUCGGCAAGGUGCUUCACUUUCAUUACCUCCUCUGAGAGCUAGGCAUGAGUGGCUCUAUCGGCAAGGCGUUGGACAGCCUUUUGAUACUGAAGCUGGCUGCUUUCUAAGUGUGCAGCCUGAAAAAGACUCUCCUCGGCAUCGGCAGGGAUUUGGCCUCUGAGAGCCUUAAAUAAAACCUUGGCUGGAUCAGAGUCAUCAACUAGUUGAGUUGUGUCCUGAUGAAGCAGGGCCAACAGAUCUUCCAGCUUUGCUCUGAUUUCUAUGGAUGAAAUCCCAACUGCUUGUGAAGAGCUUGCUUCCUCGCCUUCAUUGUCAGAAAUUUCAAUGGCAAAGGAGAACAAGCUGUCGGGAGAGUCCUGUUCCUGAAAAGAAAAUAAAAUAAGUUAUUUGAUGAUCAAGUACUGGUGAAAAAUAGAAAUCAGAUGACUUACUUGUUUUAGGGCAAUUUCUCGCCUCUGGCUAGCUGAAGCCGAUGGUACCACGGGUUGAUCGGCUGGAGUUGCCAAUGGAAUGAUGUCAGCUGAAAAUUAUGUAAUAAUAAUGAGUGCUGCAAGUUAAAAAUCCGUCGGCAAAUAAUCUUAUGGACAGAACCUUACCUUGAGGGGGUGCAAUGCUUGUCUGGAUCGAAGAAACUACCGAUGCUAUGAUUGAACUCACUGGAUCGGUGGUCUGCUCAUGUACAUCGGCUAGUGUCUCUUCUAGCUGAGGUUCUUCUUAUGGCUGAGGUGGAGGCGGUGCUUGUUGUGUCUGAGUAUCUGGUGAAGAAGGGGACGAUUCCACAUGAAUCGGUGACCCUGGGGGAGGAGGAGGAGGUGCUACUGUCUUUUGACGUGUUGCUUGUGACUUAGUACUCUUGGGACCCUUUCUCUUUACUUGGCUGGACUGGGGGGCAUCGGCAGUUGUCUUGGUACUUCUAGUCUUUGCUGAUUUGCGAGUUUGCUGAUAUAACGAUAAAAGUUUCAUAAGUACAAGUGUAACAGAGUAUUGAUGGAAUUUUGGUUGAGACAGUGAAAGUUACCGAUGAAGUUCCCAUGGCGGCCGAUGUAUCCUGAAAAGGCCGUGUAAGUAUAGAAUGGAAUCGGUAUAAAUUGAAGAGAUAAAAACUUUCUACCUUGAAAACUUGCACCAAAGCAGCAGCAACAACCGAUGGAGAUGUCUUGGCCCGCUUGGUGGUAAUUUUCUUGAAACGCACACCCCGGUGCAUUAAGGCCGCUAAGCUUGGUGCAUUGUUGCCGAUCAAAGAAAUCGGGCCCGAUGGGAGGAUUUCGAUCGGCUUACCACUUCUACUGGCUGACGGUGGAGUAUCGUCAACCUGUAUAAAACAGAGGAAGUAAGUUGCCGAUAAGAACAAAAGUAAUAGGAUUGAGGUAUCGGUUGAAGACUUACAGUGUUCUCAGGGACCUUGUACGUGGAGUCGGUCAUACCGCGGUAUGUAAGAGCCGAUCUGCAGAACAAAUGCUCUUUCCACUCCGCCCACCAUUGUUUGUACGCCUGGGUGAUGAAGAGAGCUAGGAUCCAAGCCGAUAAGUCGAUAUCUGAUGUAUCAGCAUUUGGUGGGAGUUGAGCUAUUCUGAUCCACUCAAGACCACUGGUGAUGAUCUCCCUUGGUUUCACCACAUCGACGUAGCAGAGCGCAAUCGGUAGCUACCCGAAGGCCAAUUGACGGGCCAAUGCCGAUGGAUUGUAGAACUUGUAGGUGAGAUUUGAAGCUUUCUCACUACCGAAGAAGUUCACUGGUAUAGCCCUCAGAGUGAUAACUGCCAUCAUCAGAUCAUGGUCCUUGUUGAGAGUAUUAUCAAAGGGAUGAAAGGUCAGGGGAAAUCUGGUGUCUGGAUCCUCAUAAGGCAUCCAUGCCCGUUGUUCGUUGGCCAGACCCUCAUAAAGAGUCUGAAAGAAUCGGCUAACCUGAUCUUCAUUACCACCGGUACCCGGUAGAACUAUGGCAGCUUCACCAUAGUUUAGAGGGGAGCGAGUUGCCGACUCUUCCUCAUCCAGCUCAUGAUCUUCGGCUAUAUCUCUGGGGAAGCACUGUGCAAAAAGGUUGAAUUCAAGGCGCUUAUGCAUGUGGACACUAAGCCACAUGUUGAUGAACCACCAGGGUCCCCCUAAGUUACCGAUGGGUUGGCCUAGCAGGAGUUUCUUAGCUACCUAAUGGAGAAGGUGAUAAACAGAGCCAAACAAGUAUCGGCCAAGAGGAAAUCGGCCACCAUUGGCCAGUCUUUUCGCUGCCGAUAGAUAAAUAGAAGUUGGCCCCACCGAUCGGCCACAGAAUACAAACUUAUCCAACCACAUGUUCAAGAAAAUGGCCUGCUCUCUUUCCCCGACAGAUCCUGUUUUUCGGUACUUCUGAAUAUAUCCAGACCAACCGCCGAUAGCGCGAGUUUCUACCUUAGAACUGGGCUUGGUGUCAAACAGAUGACUGUUAUCGGCAGUUGAUAUGUCUAAGCCAGUGAGCAUGAGUAUAUCGGCAAGAGUAGGUGAAGCAGGGCCAUGGCUAAAUACAAAAGCAUUGAGUGUGUCUGACCAAAAGUAUGAGGCAGCUAUCAGCAGCGACUCAUUCCUCUCCAUAUCGGAAAUAGAUAAUCUGAUGCAUUGUUCUAAUUUCCGUUCACCCCAUUGGACUUCAUUUGAAUGGCUGACUCUCAGGAACCAGUCUUUCCAUCCUUUGGUGGGACUGGGCCAAGAACGGAAAGCAUCUUUCCACAGAUCUAAGGAGAAGUUUUCGGCUCUAAAAGGGAUCCUAUUUGUCUCUACGUUUAUCAGAUCGGUAGGAUCUGGGUUUCCCAAUGGACCAAGGCACUGGAAGUGAGGUUGAUCGGUAGGAAUAACAAUUUUAUCAGUCAACUCCUAAAGAAAUAGACGAUAAAAGAACAAAAAAGAAGGAAAAAGUACUCAGUAACCAGAUUUGCAGAUGAACAGGAGUACAGUAGAAGUAUAAAAGAAGGAUGGUAGGCUGACCUCAGAUACGAUGAAGUUGAUAGUCAUUUCUUCCCGAGGAAGAGGAGAGAUCGAAGACUUGGAAGAUUGGUGGAGGAAGCCCUUGCUCGAGUUCUUGGAGUUCUCAGGCAAUAUUGCCGCCAGGAACGUGGGUUUGAGGCUGUAGAAUGACAGGAUGGAGAAAGAGUACCGGAGAAGGAAGUAUUUAUAGGACAAAACGGGCAGGGGCAAAUCUGACUUAUCUCUUUGCCGCAUCCGUGAAAUCCGAGGGUGUUCAGAUGGAUAUGGUAACUGUUCGCAUGAUAAUCAAGGGAUUGCGUAGGUGAUUUGACAGCAAGCGGUCAUGAUUUUGAAGAUAUUUUACUGUGCAAGAUCGCCUGGUCGGUCUAUCGACAGUUUUCUCUAACGGUAAUAUUGCCGAUGAGCGCAUAAUUGGGGAGGUUCGGUUCGAGAGGUUGAGAAAUUCGAGGAAUCUGCAGGAGAAUCGGGCUAAGGUUGUUUAGAUUUGGCGGCUGGUUGCCAAAUUGGGAGAAGUAAUUGCGAAAGGCGUCAUUACUGCAGAGAAUUUUGGAGCAUUAAUGAUUUUAUACUCCGAAAUUGGGGGGCAUGUGUGUUGACGGUCCUUAAGUACCAAAUAUAAUCAUCAAAUAAAUAAAGAAAAGGAUCCAAAUGCAACCAACAUCUAGACUUAGGGUUUUAUCUGACAGAAUUCCACGAGUUUUGGUGUUUGUCUAUUUCUGCAGGGGGUUAUCAGGAAAUAAGGAAGAAAGGCCCACAUGUCAGGAUUACAUAGAGAUAUCAACGCACCGCGCAAUUUUCUACCAUCUAGAAGACUCCAGAAGCCACGAGACCGAAGCAGAGGCGAAACGGGGCCAGGACCUGGGCGCCUGCCCAGUUUCCUUGGGCGCCCGCCCACCUGCCGAGCCCAAUCAGGACUCUUUCUCUCGGGAGAUCUCCACCGACCUAUUGGAUCCAGAAUAACGUAGUACCACAUCGCCUACCAACCAAAAAACGCAUAGAGGAGGAGGACUAUAUAAGGAGACCCCCCUGGCCCCUGGAGAAGACAAGAAAUUAUCAUAGAGAUUGAGGGGUGCCCUCGAAGGAAAACCUCUUCUCUAAAUAAUAUUUCUUUUUAGGCUUAGCAACCAAUGUAAGGUAGAAAUAGAUCUUCUAGUUUCUACUAGAUUGAGAGAGAUAGAGUGGAGGUGUGGAUCAGAGGAAGGCCGGCCUAUCGGUGUCUACUCCGAGUUGUACCUGCGCGAUCAAGUCUCCUAACCCGAGGCUUGCUUCUAAGAUUCUUCAGUAAUUCGACUUCUAAUUCUAGUAAGUUCUUGUUUUAUUGUUCUUUGGUUUAUGAGUUUACUUUAAUCCUCUUCCGUUUGAGUAUUAGAGUAAUCACUUGCUAGCGUAAACGUGGUGUUUAGGCUAGGGUACUCAUAGAUAUCCCCUGACUAACUGGACCGUGGUAGUAGCGAGGAACGUGACAUUUCCGAGUUACCUUUGUAUCCUAUAUCUUGUUAGCAGGACGGGUAGGGUUUAUAGGUGGGGGUCGAACAUCCUUUGUGUUGUCUAGAUUCCGUGAGCCUCCCCAAUAGAACAGUAGAUCAUACUUACCAAGGUUAGAACGAGACUACGGUUGCAGUCUUCUCUAUACAUCACUCACAUCGAGAAACAUUCUUUGUAGCCUAAAGGGAUAGUAGCAAUAGAUUUGGUUAGUCCGAUGCACCCUUUCUCCCAGUGGUAAAAAUAUAAAUACGAUAACUCUGGAUAAUCUCCUGGGUGAAAUGCUCACCGAUAUCCGUGCGCUUGCGGAUCAUUUCCUGAUUGCGUUACCAAAUAUCAACAAGCAUUUCUGGCGCCGUUGCCGGGGAGAAAGACGGUUUGCUGAGAUAACUUUGAGUCUUGCUAUUAUCUUGUAUUAUACUUUUAUUCUUUUAUCUUUUUAUUUUUAUCUUUAUGGAUAACUCAAAUUCCAUACCUAUUAUUAAAUUCUUUGCACCUUCGAAGACCAGCCAUAGACCAUGGGAGUCAACACGUCCUGCCCCUAAUUAUGAUCUGUGUCCGGAGUUGAUUGCAAUAGGUCAAAACCAACCCUUUUCUAUAGCUGAGGUCCUAUCUUUUAAUCAAGAAGAUAAUGCACUUUUAGCUACACCUAGGGAAUCUGUUAAUCUUUCUAUAAAUUCUGGUUUAGACCUAGCCCUACAAGACCAUGUUUUUCCUAGAUAUUUUCACAUUGGUCUUAAUCAUAUAACAUUUGGUAGAGUCCUUCUUUCUUUAUCUAUUAGUAAAGGAAGGUUUAUCUUCAUUUGUGGACAUCCUUCUUGUACUAGUCUUCAUAGAAAAAUCUUAGAGAUAGAGAAGGAAUCAUCUCCCAGACGAGGAAAGGAAGUUUCAAUAGCCAAUUUCCAAAUAUUUCAAUCCCAUGAUUCGGCUAUCCAACCCAUCCUUGAGCUUAAUAAUUUCUACUAUGCUCUUUCUCUUGAACCUCCCGAUAAUCCUAUGAAUCUCUCUAGACAUCCCAUGCAUAAGAAGGAGGAUCGAGAAGAGCAACAUCGAUGGCUAGAGAGCAUUAAAAAUCCAUGUGCUAUCACCGUUGAAUGGAUAGAUAAAACAAACUUGAGAGACAAUCCUAGAGGAAUUUUAAGCAUUCAUGAAGAAUCAUCCUUGGAGUUUGAGAAUGAGAGAAACAACAGUGAGCAUGGAAGUUAUUUCAUAAAUACCUCACCCAGUCCUUGCUCAUAUCAAACAUCUCUCCAAUCAAUUUGUCUCUCCAUCCUUACCACAUUUGAGAUCUCCAAUCCCUUCUUCCUUUCUAUUUAUAAAAACUUUAAAAGGACGGUUGUCGAUGCAUAUGUCUAUAAUAAAUAUUGCAGAUCUCGUUGAGUUGAUCUUGAUAUAGGUAGGUGUUGGAGGGGCAACCACUUCGCCGACAUAAAUUGAUGGUUUCCCAAGGACAAGCUUAGUGUCCUAAAACAAUCACUUAUCAGAUCGUAACAUGAACUUCUAAUUAUUUGCAACAUUGCCUUGUGUAUUGAGCAUAUAAAGAUAAUUGUAGAAAUAUUCCUUCGGGUAUUUUUGUCACUAACCUUUCCAGGAUUGGAGCAAGAAGAUCGGAUGAAUGACAAGCGUAAGGUAUGCCCAACCAAUCAUCAUGCAACAUUGAAUUAAAUUCAUCCAAACUUGAAUUUUGCAAAAUUCAAGCUUGGGGGAGUACUUUACAUAAAAACAUCAUUUGCCAUGUUGCUAUGUUGGUUGUCCUUACCUUUGAGACAUGCUCAAUUUGUUAAAUACUAAUUACACUACUUCAUCUCCACUUAAGUAGAUCUCUAUAAAUGCUCUCAUGCUACCUUUAUUUGCUUUAGUAUAUGUCUAGGUUUGGAAUAGUUUCAUUUAUCUCUUAAUUAAGCAUGGUGCUUAGUUUAGGAAUGACGAUCUUACUUCCAAGGCAUUUUAAAUUAAGCAUGGUGCUUAGGUUAAAAUGCCCUUCUAAAUCAAAUUAGACAUGGUGUCUAGGUUGAUUUUUGAGCCGAUAGUAUGCUAUAGUAGAUAUGGGAUACUUUGUUGGACUAACCCCUAUAGGAAAACUUUCAAUAUCAACCUAGGAAGUCCUGAGAUAAACUCACAUUGGAGAUGAAGAAAGUGACACAUGAAGUUUAACAAUUUGCACAAGAAAGACGUAGCUCAAAAGAGAUGAUUCAUGGAGGGUGCCACAAACACGAUGCACAACCGCUAAGAAAGGAAAGCUUCCACAAGGUGAUACUGUACCGUCACUCUUCAAGUAAGGUAACAUUUUAAGGUACUUGACUAUCGCUUUUAUAAGUUUCUCCUUGGUUCUGGCAUUCACACAAAAUAAAGAGACAAACUUGUAUGAUCUGUAACUCCAAAUUAACCAACUCAAUUAAUUCAACAUGUUUAGUCCUUUAAUCUUUGUUCUUAGUACUACCUUUGUGACCACACACUCCUAAUCAUAUAAGCUAAAGUAUUGCACAUUCAAUCUUGGGAAGAUAUAAACAAAACAUAAAUAUAGAUAGAUUAUCUUUCCAUUAGGUUGAGCUGUCUGAUCUGACAAAAGCUACACUCAUGAUCCAUCAACUUUGUCUUGCUCACUAUGCUUAAGGUUAGAGAAGAAUAAAUACACUUUUGGUUCUGUUGGUGUUUUCCACCAACAGGGCCCAUGCACUUGAUCUCUGCCUUGUCUCCAUAAACAGGUACACUUCGAACAAAACCUAGAGGAGUUUUAGAACUCCAAGAUUCCACCAAGUGAAGAACCAGGAUCUAUGAGCACAAACACAAUGGAGAUCAGACACUUAGUUUCCCAAAGGAAAUAUUGAAGAACCUCUGUGUCCGAGUUGGUACCUUGUACGCUCCAGCAACUUCGUGGUGAUAGAGACUGGUACUGAGGAGAGGGCACCCAUCAUCCUAGGGAGGCCAUUCCUAAACACCAGAGCUAUCAUCUACGCUAAUGCUGCCAAGAUCAGUUCCUACAUUAAGGGGAAGAAGGAGACUUUCCUUCAAGAACAAGACUACACAAACUUCAGAGCAAUCCCGACAUAAACCAAGGAAGAGGACCUACAGGAGGAACAGGAACAAGCAAAUGUGGACCGAGUCAACUAAGAUGGUCACUGCAACUCAAGGAGGUCAAGAUCGACGACUCAAGUCACUUUUCUUGAUCAAGAAGGACGACCCUGGUGUUCCAAGCAUUGAGUGCACAAUCAAUAGAUACUCUUUUUAGAAGACACUCUAUGACACCGGAUCUGACGUCAACAUAAUGGCCACAGUCACUUAUCAGCUCCUGCAUCAGACCAUGCCUCUGCAACCAAUAUACAUUCAGCUCCAGAUGAUUUUCAGGUCAUUGACAUGGGAGAAGACGAGUACGAUCCACCCACCAUCCUUGGAAGACCGUUCCUCAACACUAUCAAAGCAAUCAUCUACAUUGGAACCGGAGAAGUCCACAUGCACUUCCCCUCUGAGAAGGUACGCCGCUAUUUUACUAACCUUUCUAUAUAGUUGAAGAUUCUAAGCAGGUCAGGACAAGAAGAAGACAACGCAACCGCAAUCAGAGGAGGCAAAUCAUCAAGGAUGGAUGGGAAGACUACGAAGGAGAAGUGAUAAGGGCUGAAGACAUGCAACUUGAAUAGAACUGUCCUAAGGAAACCAUAGCACCGAGUCAGAUAUGGAAAGAGAAGAUAGUUAUAGCCACCAGAACCACCGACUAUGCCAUCCAGCGAAUCCCAGGAUGACCGAGAAAACGGAGAGUCCCGGUCGGAGGACUUAAAAACACCGAACGCCUUGCCAAGAGGUAAACUUGGUAGUUAUCCUUUUUCAUUCAAUAGUUUGCUUAGUUAAUCAGGUUCAUGCUAUCUUGAAAAGAAAAUAAAAAAAUAGUAAGCCCCAUGUGAGUAUGCUCAUGGCAUAAAACCCAUAAGUACAUUCACUGUGGUGGCAUAAAAAUAAAAUAAAUAUGUUUUCAUCUUACAAUAAAAAUAUAAAAAUAAUAAGUGCAUGAUCCUGCUAAAUAAGUAAUAUUUAUUGUGGAGGCUCAACAUGAUAAAGGCUAGAUACUUAUGCUAACACUUAACCAGUUCUACAAAGCUUUGUUGUCUAUUUGAGCUCCACAAAAUUCAAUGAUCAAAGAAGACUAGCAGACGGAGGACAUCCUAAUCGCUGUCAGGGUGCUACCGACAUUCAAAUACACCUCCAUCACCUGCUAGCUACAUGAGAAGAAAUUACGUCAAAAUCCAGCUUGGGGGAGAGCACCCCCAUUUAUCCAGCUAAGUGUUUCUACUCGCGUUUAUACUUUACUCAAAUAAUAAAAAGAUGCAUAAUCAUAAAAAAACCCAAAUAAAGAUUUUGUGCUUUUAUAUAUAUCUUUGCUUAGUUUGCGAAAUAAAUAAAUAAAUAAAGUUUGCUAUGAACCCUCAUGAUAAACUCUCACAUGGAAAUGAUGAAUAGUUGCUCUGCCAUGACUAGUUCUUAAAAUUGAAAUCUCUCUCAAGUUUAGGCAUGACUAUUAUGAAGUAAGAUUUGCUCUAAUCUGAACUUGUGGGAAGAGUACUUGAUCUAAAGUCUAAGUCGUUAACGGAUAUGAUAUGGGAAGGUUGAGCUGCUAUUUAUCUAUUCCUAGAGAUGCUAAAAUUCUAGAGAAUUUUAUCUUUGAAAAUCUUUAAAAUAUCACAUGAUGAGUUCCUAUAUGAUGAGAGUUUAAAUUCCUACCACAGCCAUAUAUACAUGCUUGCUAGACUUUGAGCCACACAUUUACUUUUUACUGCUUAUAAGCAUUGAGUGUGGUCAAGCUGUGUAGACCCUAAGGAGCUUGUCAUGCGGUUAGAAUCAAGAUUCACUUGCACGUUCACUCACACAUGCUGCUUCUACUCCGGAAGUACGCAUCCACAUACAUCCACUCAUUUCCAUCUCCAGAUUCACCCAAAAUUAUUCUACUCCUAAUCCGGGAGAGAAUAGCCAAAAACAUUUUCCUAUCCCUAUUAUUCCCUGUGAAAUAAAUGCUCAAGUUAUCUUGGUUACUACCACUUGCUAUAUUAUUUCAGGAGAUGAGUGCUCUAAAAAAAAGAAAGAAGGAAAAAAAUACGAGGAAAUAAAAAGGGGCAAGUGCCCGGAACCUCGAAGAAAAAGAAAAAAGUGAGACGAGAGGUAAAAAUGGACAAGUGUCCGACAGUAGAAUUAGGGGUACAAGAUACCCACCUGAGAGAAAAGAAAAAGAAAAUAUAGAGCAUAUCAUUCUCCCCAAAAAGCUUCAAAGUGCAAGAAAGGUAUGUAUCCCCUCAAAAGAGUAAAAGUAGAAUUAGACUUUCACCAUCAUUAUCACCAUCAUCACCAUACACCAUUCAUUCGCCACACAUGCACAUCUUGAUUUGACUUAUUGACUUGUUUCUCUGGAUCCAUGGUUUGACUGUGCAAUAAAUGUCUUGUAAGUAUGUAUUAGCUGUCUCCCACCUAUGAGCUCCAGAUAUCAAAACCUUAUUAGAGUAGGGUGAGAGAGAAGGUAAUAUCACUAUGCCUCAUACCAAAAAUACCACAUACUUUGAGAGAAGGCAUAUACCACUACUGCCUUGGUAAGGAUCCAGAAAUACCACAAAAGAGAGAUUUGAGAGAGUCAUAUAAGGAAUCUCUGAGUUUUAUUUGAAAAUAUGCAAAAACCCCAGAGCUAUAGCUGAUCAAAGAAUAAGAGACAUGGAGCUUAACUUGACCAUUCUAUCUUUUAACUGCUCAAGACACAAGUGACGGUUACAAGCCCCAUGGUGAAAGAUAAAAUGAGUAAGUUUUAAGUCUUAACAGUUUAUUCUAACUC
RNAcentral lists this long non-coding RNA (21707 nucleotides) under Sorghum bicolor (sorghum). Its description in RNAcentral is "long non-coding RNA (SBIC_LNC013016)". Lineage: Eukaryota; Viridiplantae; Streptophyta; Magnoliopsida; Poales; Poaceae. The record is from RNAcentral.